AAGAAGUGGUCAUUUGAUUGUCAUCCAUUCAGUCCAAGGCCUUAGACCUUGCGUUUGUUCCUGUCUUCAUAUAGUCAGAAACCAGUGAGCCACCUAGUCUGGUGGAAUGAAACUAUUGUUUUAAAUAACUAACAGCUACCCCCUUAAAUUCAUCAUUUAAUCCACAUGCUAUCUACGAGAUAAUUUUCUAAGUAAGGAAACAGAAUCUUGGCGUAAAAAGCUAAGCUACUUUAAUGUGAUCCUCAAGUCCUUUAAGGGCUAUUUUUAGGGCUGCACAUGUGGCAUAUGGAAGUUCCCAGGCUAGGGGUCGAAUUGGAGUGCAGCUGCCCGUCUACACCACAGCCACAGCAACCCCAGAUCCUUAACCACUGAGCGAGGCAAGGGAUUAAACCCACAUCCUCAUUGAUACCAGCUGGGUUCAUUACCACUGAGCCACAGUGGGAAUUCCCUUUAAGUGUUAUUUUUAAUGUGGAUCCGACUCUUUAAAAAGCAAGGGCACAAACAGUAAGACGCCCUUUAGGCCAGUGGCUCUUCAAUUUUUCGCACUCAAAACUCCUUAUAUAUUCUUAAACAUUAUUUUGCUUAUGAGGAUUAUAUCUAAGACUAUUGAUCAAAAUAGAAUUAAAACAGGGAAAAUUUUUAAAGUUUAUUUUAAGAAACCAUAAACUGGGUAUCUAUAAGUUGUUAUUUUGGUAUCUAUAAGUUGUUAAUGAAAAAAUAACUAUUUUCCAAAACAAAAACCCAAUGAAAAAGGGAACACUGUUUUAUAUUUUUGCAAAUCUCUAAUGCCUGGCAUAGAACAUAGCUGGAUUCUCACAUCUGAUCUGUAUUCAAUCUCUCACCAUAUCAUACAGAAUAUAGUCUCUGGAAAACUCCAGUGUAUGCUCAUGAGAGAAAAAGGCAAAUAACAUCUUGUAUGAGUUUCCUAGGGCUGCUGUAACAAACGACCAUAGACGAGGGGGCUGAAAACAACAGAUAUUUAUUCUCUUGCAGUUUGGGAAGCCAGGAAUUCAAAAUCAAGAUGUCAGCAGGGGUGAUUCUUUCUGGAAACUCUGAGGGAGAUUCAUUCUAUGACUCUUUCUUUACUAACUUCUGGUGGUUGCCCUCAAUCCCUGGUGUUCCUUAGCAUAUAACUGCACCGCUAUGACUCUGUCUCCAAUGUUAUCUUCCCUAUUUCUAAGCGUCUCUCUCCUUAGAGGAGCAAUGCUCAUUAGACCUGGGGGCCACCCUAAUCCCGAAUGCCCUCAUCUUAACUUGAAUGCAUCUGUAAAGACCCUAUUUAUAAAUAGAUUCACAUUCAUAGGUUCUGGUAGACAUGAGUUUUGAGGAGACAGACUCUACAGUUUACCCUCUGGUCCCUCCAAAUUCACAUCCAUCUCACAGGCAAAAUAUACACUUUCCAUCCCUCCAUUCCCCAGUGUCUUCACCGAUCUUGGUGUCCUCUCCAUCUGUGAAUCUGUGAAACUAGGAAACAAGUUAUCAGCCUAGGAAAUACAAUGAUGAGACAAGUGUAUGAAGACAUUCCUAGAGAGGAGAGAAGAUGGCUUGGACAUGAAGCUCACCUACUUCCACAAAUACAUCGAGAAUGCACCCACAUGUGGAACGAUUUGCACAGAAAAUUUGCAGAAUGUUGGUAAAAAGACUUCAGGAUUCUGAUAGAGCAAGACAAUCUUCACAAAACCAGGCAGGACAAAAUAAGGAGAGAAAAUGAGAAAGGAGUCGGGAUGGGAUGUGCACCCCUAGGAAGGAGCUAUUAAGAAGAAAAGCUCCUGCACCCUGGAAAGUACCCCCACCAGCAAGGAGAUCAGCCAGGGCAGAGGAAGAACCUUUAGAACCUUGGAAGAGAACACAGCCAUCCAUGGGAAGCAGUUAUGGAAACAGUUCUCCACAAAUGUUUCUUCUCGAUAGAGCUCAAUGGCCUCCAUGAUCCUCUCAGCCUAUACAGAUGACGACAAAGGACAGAAACCACAACCCACUCAUCAUCCCAUAACACUGCAAAGAUGAAGUUACCAUAUGCAAUAGCUUGAGUCAAUUUAAUAAAGAUGGGCCAGUAGGUGCCAAACAGCAUCUAAA
Sus scrofa (pig) is the source of this 2073-nucleotide non-coding RNA. The record is from RefSeq and is a predicted model, not a curated record. Lineage: Eukaryota; Metazoa; Chordata; Mammalia; Artiodactyla; Suidae.